GGAAGACCCUGGGCAUGCCCAUGAUGGCCAGUACAGCAAGACCCAUGGGACUGCUCAUGCUUUGAAGCCAAAGACUUCACUCCAAGAGCAUACUACGUUGCGAGCAAUACCAACUCAGAGUGCCCUGAGGAGGUCGAGGCGUUGUCGCAAACUCAGAGAGCAUAACCUUACGCUGUCGUGUGUGGUGUUGCGGUGGAUGGACUCCGUUGCGCGCCGUGGGUUGCUUUGGCUCUUGGGGAUGCGAGGCAGCAGCAUCAACAAGAGGCAAGUGGAGU
This is a non-coding RNA of Lolium perenne, 275 nucleotides long. The record is from RefSeq and is a predicted model, not a curated record. Lineage: Eukaryota; Viridiplantae; Streptophyta; Magnoliopsida; Poales; Poaceae.